UAUAUAUAUAUAUCUAUGUAUAUCCCCUUAACGACCGUGGACGUAUUAUGUACGUUCGACAAAAAAACAGACGUUAAGGACCGCGGCGGUACCUAGUACAACCUUGGCAAAUAGGAGCCCUGGACUUACCUGGGCCGGCGAUCCGUGGCGAUCACGGUCGGGGGGGACUGCCGGAGACCCAAGCAUUGGGAAUUUUUUUUUUAUAAAAAACAAAUAAAAACAUUAACUUUGGCCAGCAUUUGUGACUAAGUGGCUACUACAAAAGACUGGAAAUACCCCAUUUGCAAAACCCUGGGUUGUCUACAUUUGAAAAUGGUAUGCCAUGAUGGGGCUAUUUACCAUUCAUGGGCUACCAUAUGGUCAGAAAAGGCAACACAGACCCAGCAAACCAAUCUGGCAAACUGAACUGGGCAAGCCUUAUUGACCCUGUACCUUUUCAAAACACCAUAAAACCUGUACAUGGGGGUUAUUGUUAUACUCGGGAGACUUCGCUGAACACAAAUAUGAGUGUUUACAACAGUGAAACCUAUCAUGAUGAUGAAAUCACCAAUAAAAGUGCAGUUUGUGUAUAACAUUUUUUUUUAUAAAAAUCAAAUAAGAACGCUAACUUUGGCCAGCGUUUGUGACUAAGUAGGAAAUACCCCAUUUGGAAUACCCUGGGUUAUCUACAUUUGACAAUGGUAUGCCAUGGUGGGGUUAUUUCACAUUCCUGGGCUACCAUAUGGUCAGAAAAGGCAACACAGACCCAGCAAACCAAUCUGGCAAACGGAAUUGGUCAAGCCCCAUAUUGAUCCUGUAACCCUGUAACUUUCCAAAACACCAUAAAACCUGUACAUGUGGGGUAUUCGGGGGUGUGCAAAAAUCCAAAUCACCUCGCUCUCCCUGCAGCCAGCACAGAGCAGGUAACUGGCAGUAAAGUCAACUGGCCUCCUCUGAUGAUGUCAGAGGAGGGGGCAUGACUUCCACUGCUUUAGUGAAUCUCCUGCCUCCAGCUCCUGUCUGGCCCGUCCCACCUAAUCACCAGG
This is a non-coding RNA of Pelobates cultripes (western spadefoot toad), 1025 nucleotides long. The record is from the annotation of a GenBank genome assembly. NCBI's taxonomy places the organism in Eukaryota, Metazoa, Chordata, Amphibia, Anura, Pelobatidae.